GCGCGCAAGCCAAUGGGUAAAUGGUGCGGUACGCCGCCCAUGACUGGAAACCCACAGGCACAGACAAAUCGAGUGUUGCGGGAUUACGGGUACGGCCGAUGGCGCAAGCCUUCGUCGGACCCCUCCAUCCCAGGGUGUCCCGUUCGGGUGCUUGCACCCAGCGGACAUCCCCGGAGUGCGUAGGAUGUGACCCGAAAGAUGGUGAACUAUGCCUGAUCAGGUUGAAGUCAGGGGAAACCCUGAUGGAGGACCGAAGCAAUUCUGACGUGCAAAUCGAUUGUCAGAGUUGGGCAUAGGGGCGAAAGACCAAUCGAACCAU
Molecule: ribosomal RNA, 319 nt
Filed under: Anopheles fluviatilis
Lineage: Eukaryota; Metazoa; Arthropoda; Insecta; Diptera; Culicidae
Description: partial 28S ribosomal RNA
Rfam family: Eukaryotic large subunit ribosomal RNA
Source: RNAcentral